GGACCCGCACAAGCGGUGGAGCAUGUGGUUUAAUUCGAUGCAACGCGAAAAAACCUUACCUAUACUUGACAUACUUGGAAUGCUUUGUAAUGAGAGUGUGCCUUUUUGGAACCAAGAUACAGGUGCUGCAUGGCUGUCGUCAGCUCGUGUCGUGAGAUGUUCCGUUAAGUCGGAUAACGAGCGCAACCCUUACCCCUUAUUUGCCAGCGAUUCGGUCGGGAACUAUAAGGGGACUGCCGGUGAUAAACCGGAGGAAGGUGAGGACGACGUCAAGUCAUCAUGGCCCUUACGAGUAGGGCUACACACGUGCUACAAUGGGGAAUACAGACGGACGCUAAGCCGCGAGGUGGUG
Molecule: ribosomal RNA, 352 nt
Filed under: uncultured bacterium
Lineage: Bacteria
Description: bacterial SSU rRNA
Rfam family: Bacterial small subunit ribosomal RNA
Source: RNAcentral